Molecule: ribosomal RNA, 468 nt
Filed under: uncultured bacterium
Lineage: Bacteria
Description: partial 16S ribosomal RNA
Rfam family: Bacterial small subunit ribosomal RNA
Source: RNAcentral
GACGAACGCUGGCGGCGUGCUUAACACAUGCAAGUCGAACGGAAAGGCCCUGCUUUUGUGGGGUGCUCGAGUGGCGAACGGGUGAGUAACACGUGAGUAACCUGCCCUUGACUUUGGGAUAACUUCAGGAAACUGGGGCUAAUACCGGAUAGGAGCUCCUGCUGCAUGGUGGGGGUUGGAAAGUUUCGGCGGUUGGGGAUAGACUCGCGGCUUAUCAGCUUGUUGGUGGGGUAGUGGCUUACCAAGGCUUUGACGGGUAGCCGGCCUGAGAGGGUGACCGGCCACAUUGGGACUGAGAUACGGCCCAGACUCCUACGGGAGGCAGCAGUGGGGAAUAUUGCACAAUGGGCGGAAGCCUGAUGCAGCAACGCCGCGUGCGGGAUGACGGCCUUCGGGUUGUAAACCGCUUUAGCCUGUGACGAAGCGUGAGUGACGGUAAUGGGUAAAGAAGCACCGGCUAACUACGUG